Long non-coding RNA from Heterocephalus glaber (naked mole-rat), 1220 nucleotides. Lineage: Eukaryota; Metazoa; Chordata; Mammalia; Rodentia; Bathyergidae. The record is from Ensembl.
GUAAUGAGAAACCGCUUAUAUUUUUUGAUAUAUGCAACUUAUGGCAGUAUAUGCAGGGCGCUAUGAAAGUGUACAGGAGAAAAGUCAAACCUCCAUCUGGAAUGCUGUCUAAUUUUGUGUGCCUAUCUUGUGGGUGACUUGGAUUUCUUAGAUGAAUGGGUAUUUGAAUUAAGGUUGUUAGAAUGACCUGUCAAUGGGGAGGUGAAGCAAAUAGGCUAUCUACAGGAAAAGAGGGUGCCCUAAGUAUUUUAAGCAGAAAAAAGAUGAGUAUAGGGAUUUAGGUGCUUAUGCAAUUGUUGGAAAGGCUAGAAGAAUGGGCUGAGCCUAAGCCUCUGGGAGUGAGUCACAGGAUUCCACCCAUUAUGGGAGCGACCAUUCUGUAAUAUUUGGGAGGUGGAAAUCAAAACGUUCACUGGGCCUAUUAACUUCAAAAACAAUACUGGGAUUUGGACCCAGGGGUCAGGAACCUGGGAUUAGAAAGCUUCUGCUGUGUCUAGCACUCUGCCACUCAACACUCAUGAAACUGGAAAGUAUGCUGGAAUGCAGAACUUCCGUAUCUGCACAGUGUUCUUCACUUGCAGGAAGGUAGCAGUCAAAGGCAGUUGGAAGAUGGUGCCCCCCUCACUUUCAUCUGCUCUUUGAAUGAUCGCACCUGACGGAUGAAGUCUCACAUGACACCCAGAAACCUACCUGGCAGAGAGUCUGGGAAAUGGGAUUUCCACUAUCCAGUUUUUGCUUAACGAAAAGACUCCAUAUCAAAAUGUCAUUUCCAAUGUUACGUCUAAGCCAGUUGCAUGACUCUUACAACUCCUAUGUGGAGGGUCUGAAAAAUGGAGUGGAGGAAGGAUUUUAAAGAGGAUUUAUCGGCAAGGAGCCGUGCUGUGAGUCUAUCUUUCUCCAUGGGGAGAGGAUGAUGAACGCAAUCCUAAGCCUAGCACAAGGGACUUACAGACAACACUCACUGAAUUUGUUAUGAAAUUAGCAUAUCGAGGAGACCAGUGUUUGGCUCUUGUCUGAGGAAUCAAACAAGCAUGAGAUCUGCUGCCUUGCUUUAGGUGGAUGGACUGCAGGAGGAUGCAUGACUCAUCAUCAAGGGAAUUUCAGAUGAGAAGUCUUCUAAUGGAGCUCUUUCUAAGAAUCCACAAAAUAGGUCUUGAGAGUGUCAUAAGAGAGUAUGGGACUGUUUUGUGACAGAACUACAUAGCCAACGAUUUUCCUGC